AUUGACAGAUUAUUCAAAUGUCAUCAUAAUAGUACCGACUGAGUUGUCGCAAUGAAUUGUAUUAGCUGCAAUCCAACCAAUCAUACAAAAACCUGUGAUCAGUUGUAUUCGAAGGUUCAGUAGCACUAUCCAAAAUAUGCGCAAAAAGCGGUAUCCCUUUGGAUGACGCAUUUAUUCUCAAUCCUCCAACGAAGCACUGCAGAUGUUGAUUAGCAGGAAUUGAGUGAGGAACUAAGCAACUCCCAAAACCGACGAACGAAAGCAUAGUUUAAAUAUGCCAGAAGGGUACCAAAAUAAGGAGCGUUCACCGCCGCGAGACAAUGGCAAUAAUGGCUGGGUUAUUGGUGGUGCGGUAGGAGUAGUAGGAGCAAUUGCAGCAGCUGUGCUGUAUGCGGUUUUUAAACGUUAAGUCUGAGGCUAAAGCACUUCAUCAUUCCCAUCAUAGAAAUGUGAAAGCACAAAUCACACUAGAAGAAGAUGUUAGAGAGAAAACAAGCAACCACGAAUAAAGCAUGAUUUAGAAAUGGAGCUUUAAAAAAGAAACUAUAAUCAUAGAUUAGAAAGAUAUAGACAAUAUCAUCGCCAACGUUUUAUAGAUAGCUUUGUACGAAAUGUAAAAUGUUUUAAAAGUAUAGUAUAGUCUUCCCUGGUCCCAAAGGUUCGAUUUUUUUUUCACUCUUCGCCCUUCGCGAACUGCGAGCGACAAUCUUUCCUUUCUYGCUCAAUAUGCGGUGCUUCGCGCCAACAAAAACAAGCAGCAAAGAGUGAAAAAAUCAAACCUGAGACCAGGGUAAAUGAAGUCUGAAAUAUCAUAAGAAAUAAACAUGCAGAAAACACAAAUCGCACAAGCUAUAUACUCAAAUCUAUAUCCAUGUUUAAGCAAGUUCAUUGAUAAAUUAUUGACUCGAUUACUAAUCAAAAAUAACGAUUACAAAGCACAUUUCUAGCUGUGCGCUGUGACGCACUUUAUAAAAAUGUAACUCAAGCUCUCUUAGAGACAGACUGUGUCAGUAAGUAACGCAAAGCAGAGCUUCAAAUUGGAAAAAAUCAAAGUUAGAAAAUAUAAUUGAUAAUGGAGCCGAAUAUGCUCAUUUUUAGCGUCGUUGGAGUCGUCGUUCUCGGUGGCAUAGUCAUUACUGCCUUGUUUCAAUGUCUUGAACCUGAUCCCCCUGAUGAUUCCUGUUGUUGCUGUUGUUGAUUAGAACAGAAGAAAUCGCUGUUUUUUUAAAACGAUCAAGGACAAGGAAACUAUUACCUGAAUAUUGUGAACUUGAUGUUAUAUGUGAAACUGAUAAAGGAACUGUAGCGUAUUCUAGCGUAUGUAUUUGGCUGUGGUACCGGUGUUAGAUGCUUUUCGAUGUAAAUAAACGAAAGGAAGGAAGAACAUGGAUAUCAGUAUCCACGAAGAGCUGGAAAAGGCUGAUUAGUCGAGGACGUGCGAGGAUAAUUUACGAGAGACUUAAACAUCGCAAAGACGUUCAACUGGAUCCUUCGAAGAAAACGCUGCGCACUUCUUAUUUGUGAAGAAACAUUUGUUAACUGUGAAAUUGAAUGUAUGAUGUACUGUUGUACAACAAGGAUCUCAUUGUGAAUGUACAUAAUCUUUGUGUCAAAAUGUUUUAGUAAAGUUAUGAUUGUUGUCAAUUAUACACAGUUGUCUUCUAUUGAAGUUGUGCGCACGUAAUUAGACUGCCUCGAAAUAUAUUAUGCGUGUUUUCAAGCAUAAACAUGACACAUAGAGUAGUUAUUUCGGUUACGCAAAGAGAAAUUAUGUGCCAUGUCAUGGCACAUAAAAUAUUCAGUUGCUGUUAGGUUAUUUUGAAGAUUUAUCACCAUAAAAGUGCUUGAUUGGCAAAUUCAAAUUCUCCUAACUGUGCGCAAAACUGCAGCGCAGCACAAUUUUCAGCAGAUCACAAACAGUUGAUGAAGUGAGACUUGAAAAAAAAUCCCCUUACAUCAUGUACGAUAGGUAUAUAAACUUGCGUCGCGGCACUACGUUAGGUUUUGCCUAAAAAUAGGACCAACAAGACACCAAGAUGAGCUACGAAAAUGAUAAGAUUCCUUACGAAGUUGUAUACGUAUACGACAACAGAAUUAACAAAGUUUGCGCGAUCUUAUAUCGCACUCAAGCAGGAGAGUAUAAACCCGGUAGAGGAUGCGUCGUCGAUCAAGAGAAGUACUCAGACAGCUCAGAAACUGUCAAAGUUGUUACUGAAACAGCAAGCUGUGUAACGAUUAUACGAUAUCAAUGGGGUGAGUACAAGUCAAGCACAUGUGGAUUCACGAUUCAAAACGAAAGCGUUAGAGUAAGUUAAGAAACCGAAAACGAUGGACAUUCGGAGUUAACCAAGAAUAGUACAUCAUAUGUAUUCAUAUUAAAUUUAUCUAUUGUAUUUAUCUUACUAUAUUGUACUAGAAUUAGUCGCACAGAAAGUGAUAUUCUAAUAGAGUAGGUCAGAACACGUCUACUCUCGUCAGUUCGCUGUAAUUACUACAAGUUUUAAUAUGUAAUAGCAACUGUCUGUAUUCAAAUAAAUAGCAAUAAAUUUGUACACCAGUAGAUCUAGAGUUAAUUCAAUAAAAUUUCAUUUAAACAUUAAAACACGUCUUCUAUGUGUCGUUAUCAUUGCGCGCAUCGAUAUAAUUUCAAUGCUUCAUCAUUAUAUGCAUCUUACAGUUGAUGUUAUUGAUUAACUACGUUGCGCGCACUGGCGUUAGGACGCUAAAUGUUGUCACGUCGCGAAGACAUCUAAAUUGGUCUCAUCAUCUUCUUCUGAUCGUUGUUUUUCUGCGCGCGUGGGGUUUACAACGGAAAACGUGUUCUGCGCGUAGGCAUGAUCAUGAAUGACCCUGGAAAGUUUGUGACGCGCAGCAGAAUAAGAUGACAAAGCACGCCAUUCACUAGAUGUCGGGGAAUUCUGAGAAUAAACUAAAUGAACUUGAUUGAUUGACAACUCCUGAAUCUGCAACGCAGCACAUUUAGUUAAGUAAGCCAUCGCAUAAGAAAAAACGAGUCGUCUCGUUGAAAUGUUUUCAAGAAUGGGUGAUGAACACGAUGAGAUUUACCAUGAAAUUGGUUCCAUCUAUGCAACUUGGUUUUUCGGUAUCCACGUCGCCGAAUUCCGCCGCACAACAAACGGUUACAUGGCAAUUGUAGGAAUGGUAGAAAGUGCACAAAAACAUCCAACAGGGAAAGAAAUAGUGCGUAUGAGAACUCAAUAUGGAGGAACCGUCGUGUUUGAGCGAGAACCAUGGGGAGAUUACAAAAUGAAGACAAGUGGAUACAGUAUAGAAGCGAGACGUGGGAGGAUAAGUUAAGAAAUGACAGCCAUUACAAGACCCGUAUUUAACAUCAAGAAGGAAUUGUAAUCUUCAAUAGAUUGUUUGAUAGAUUUGUAAACUGAACCUCACGACGUUCACUAACUAUGAAUAAAAAAUAAUAAUUGUUACAAACUGAUUUCUCUUGCGCGCACUCACUAAAUCUAGCUCUCAACCACUUAGAGUAAUUUUGAUUAUUUUAUGAUUGCUUACGGUAGAACUUCAUUGGAAAACAAAUCUAUCUGUCAUUAACAAUCAGAUACUGCAAACAGUAGAAUACAACAGUUUGUCUAUAGUCUAAAUUGUAAGAUAGAACAAACCUCAUUUUAGGGCAAGAACAGUUCAAUCACUCAAGUUACAUUCCAGUAAACAUACAGAACUAAAAGUGAAGAAAACAUUCCAAAUUCUCCCAAGUGCGCGCACAUGUAUAUCAUUACAAAGCCGGCGCAAUGCACUAUGAAACAAUUAGGAUUCAAAUCCCUUAAACAUUGACCAAAGAAAUACCAAUGUUGAGUAUUUGAGCUAAAAAGGUAUCAAAAUGAGUUACUCUCCUGACGAAAACGAUAGCAUUCCCUACGAAGUUGUGUACAUCUACAGCAAAACGGAGAACAAAAGAACUGGGAUAUUCUACCGCACGCCAAGAGGACGGUAUAAAGAAGGAAGAGGCUGCUUUGUGACGAAGAGGACAAGAAAAGGAAAAGAAAUUGUUAAAAUAAUUACAGAAGAAGCAGAAUGUGUGAUUUUUGUACGAGAUGAAGAUGGUGAAUACUGUUCACAAACUCGAAACCACAAGAUAACAUCGGAUGAAGUAUUGAUAAGUUAAGCACAACAGCCGUGUUGGUCGAGUGGCGUAUGCAUGUAGCAGUUACUAUCAAAUGUUUGUAGUAUUCAUUUAACGUUUUGAUAAAAGUAUUGCCAAUUUA
Molecule: long non-coding RNA, 4241 nt
Organism: Exaiptasia diaphana
Lineage: Eukaryota; Metazoa; Cnidaria; Anthozoa; Actiniaria; Aiptasiidae
Exons: 12
Source: RefSeq, a predicted model, not a curated record